Molecule: ribosomal RNA, 883 nt
Filed under: Bacillus sp. M_Sw_HS_07/11_11_1(1)
Lineage: Bacteria; Bacillati; Bacillota; Bacilli; Caryophanales; Bacillaceae
Description: bacterial SSU rRNA
Rfam family: Bacterial small subunit ribosomal RNA
Source: RNAcentral
UUCCCAGACGAACGCGGGCGGCGUGUCUAAUACAUGCAAGUCGAGCGGACGGAUGGGAGCUUGCUCCCUGAAGUCAGCGGCGGACGGGUGAGUAACACGUGGGCAACCUGCCUGUAAGACUGGGAUAACUUCGGGAAACCGGAGCUAAUACCGGAUAAUGCAUAGCCUCUCAUGAGGCUAUGCUGAAAGAUGGUUUCGGCUAUCACUUACAGAUGGGCCCGCGGCGCAUUAGCUAGUUGGUGAGGUAACGGCUCACCAAGGCAACGAUGCGUAGCCGACCUGAGAGGGUGAUCGGCCACACUGGGACUGAGACACGGCCCAGACUCCUACGGGAGGCAGCAGUAGGGAAUCUUCCGCAAUGGACGAAAGUCUGACGGAGCAACGCCGCGUGAGUGAUGAAGGUUUUCGGAUCGUAAAACUCUGUUGUCAGGGAAGAACAAGUGCCGGAGUAACUGCCGGCACCUUGACGGUACCUGACCAGAAAGCCACGGCUAACUACGUGCCAGCAGCCGCGGUAAUACGUAGGUGGCAAGCGUUGUCCGGAAUUAUUGGGCGUAAAGCGCGCGCAGGCGGUCUCUUAAGUCUGAUGUGAAAGCCCACGGCUCAACCGUGGAGGGUCAUUGGAAACUGGGGGACUUGAGUGCAGAAGAGGAAAGUGGAAUUCCACGUGUAGCGGUGAAAUGCGUAGAGAUGUGGAGGAACACCAGUGGCGAAGGCGACUUUCUGGUCUGUAACUGACGCUGAGGCGCGAAAGCGUGGGGAGCAAACAGGAUUAGAUACCCUGGUAGUCCACGCCGUAAACGAUGAGUGCUAAGUGUUAGAGGGUUUCCGCCCUUUAGUGCUGCAGCAAACGCAUUAAGCACUCCGCCUGAGACGCGACGUA